UGUAGGAGCGAGCUUGCUCGCGAUGGCGUCAAGUCAGCCGCCUUGAUCUUGGCUGAUACACCGCUAUCGCGAGCAAGCUCGCUCCCACA
This 89-nucleotide unclassified non-coding RNA is filed under the name Pseudomonas thivervalensis. The record is from RNAcentral. Lineage: Bacteria; Pseudomonadati; Pseudomonadota; Gammaproteobacteria; Pseudomonadales; Pseudomonadaceae.